UCGUGGGGAGUGGAGCGGGGCGGGGCGUGUUGGCUUAAAUGGGCCAGCAUCCUGCCCUGUGGCGGGAGGCCAUGUGGGCCGAGUCAUGUUCGAAAUGGCGUGAGGCUGGGUUGGGCCGAGUCAUGUUCGAAGUGGCGUGAGGCCAGGUGGGCCGAGUCACAAUCGAGACCCGUGGGCGCUGUUUCUGUACGCUUUAAGUGAAUUGGUUGCGUAUUUCUAACAGCUCGAGCUUUUGGGAUUAAUGGUUAGCGCCAACGAUCCGACAAGUGGUAUCAGAGCCAGAGGUCACGGGUUCGAUUCCUGCAUGCUGCAAAUGUGUGCAGGUGCUGGAGGGGGGAUUGUUGGCUUAAAUGGGCCAGCAUUCUGCCCUGUGGCGGGAGGCCAUGUGGGCCGAGUCAUGUUCGAAAUGACGUGAGGCUGGGUUGGGCCGAGUCAUGUUCGAAGUGGCGUGAGGCCAGGUAGGCCGAGUCACAAUCGAGACCCGUGGGCGCUGUUUCUGUACGCUUUAAGUGAAUUGGUUGGGUAUUUCUAACAGCUCGAGCUUUUGGGAUUAAUGGUUAGCGCCAACGAUCCGACAGGGCGUGGCGUGGCGGGGUCCUUUAU
RNAcentral lists this long non-coding RNA (603 nucleotides) under Ananas comosus (pineapple). RNAcentral describes it as "long non-coding RNA (ACOM_LNC027900)". The record is from RNAcentral. Lineage: Eukaryota; Viridiplantae; Streptophyta; Magnoliopsida; Poales; Bromeliaceae.